CAUGCUGUGAGCUCGAUGAGUAGGGCGGGACACGUGGUAUCCUGUCUGAAUAUGGGGGGACCAUCCUCCAAGGCUAAAUACUCCUGACUGACCGAUAGUGAACCAGUACCGUGAGGGAAAGGCGAAAAGAACCCCGGCGAGGGGAGUGAAAAAGAACCUGAAACCGUGUACGUACAAGCAGUGGGAGCACGCUUAGGCGUGUGACUGCGUACCUUUUGUAUAAUGGGUCAGCGACUUAUAUUCUGUAGCAAGGUUAACCGAAUAGGGGAGCCGAAGGGAAACCGAGUCUUAACUGGGCGUUAAGUUGCAGGGUAUAGACCCGAAACCCGGUGAUCUAGCCAUGGGCAGGUUGAAGGUUGGGUAACACUAACUGGAGGACCGAACCGACUAAUGUUGAAAAAUUAGCGGAUGACUUGUGGCUGGGGGUGAAAGGCCAAUCAAACCGGGAGAUAGCUGGUUCUCCCCGAAAGCUAUUUAGGUAGCGCCUCGUGAAUUCAUCUCCGGGGGUAGAGCACUGUUUCGGCAAGGGGGUCAUCCCGACUUACCAACCCGAUGCAAACUGCGAAUACCGGAGAAUGUUAUCACGGGAGACACACGGCGGGUGCUAACGUCCGUCGUGAAGAGGGAAACAACCCAGACCGCCAGCUAAGGUCCCAAAGUCAUGGUUAAGUGGGAAACGAUGUGGGAAGGCCCAGACAGCCAGGAUGUUGGCUUAGAAGCAGCCAUCAUUUAAAGAAAGCGUAAUAGCUCACUGGUCGAGUCGGCCUGCGCGGAAGAUGUAACGGGGCUAAACCAUGCACCGAAGCUGCGGCAGCGACGCUGAUGCGUUGU
This 831-nucleotide ribosomal RNA is filed under the name Escherichia coli. Its description in RNAcentral is "partial 23S ribosomal RNA". It matches the Rfam family "Bacterial large subunit ribosomal RNA", at positions 393 to 1224 of the family's 2925-position model. The record is from RNAcentral. Lineage: Bacteria; Pseudomonadati; Pseudomonadota; Gammaproteobacteria; Enterobacterales; Enterobacteriaceae.